Grus americana (Whooping crane) is the source of this 547-nucleotide long non-coding RNA. RefSeq lists it as uncharacterized. The record is from RefSeq and is a predicted model, not a curated record. The transcript is spliced from 3 exons. NCBI's taxonomy places the organism in Eukaryota, Metazoa, Chordata, Aves, Gruiformes, Gruidae.
UUUAGUCAAUAGUUACCGGUGGCUUCAUUUAAAAUUUCAAAUUUUUCCCCGUGAAAAAGCGAGAAAUUUCGCUGCGGGGAUAGGCGCGGAUUGCUGUUACGAAGGACAUUGGUUUUUCCAAUCGCUGUAGGCUUGAACUGCAUUAUAGAGAGGUGAUGGAAUGGAAAUUUCGUAUCUCAAAUUCUUUCUGGAGCUCCUGGUAUCUCACACUUGUAGAAGUACAGAUACUGAGUGUGACAGAUGAUCCUUACGGGGUUGAUCUGAAUGCUGGCAAAUUCAGACUAUUAUGCCUUGGUGGAGGCUCUAAAAUGAAGACUUUUAAGAGAGCUGCAUGCACAACCAAGUGUCUCAUUUAUUAAAAUUAAAUGAGAAAACGAUUAGAAACGUGUGCCCCUUCAAACAUGGUAUUGCUGAAAACUCAAAGAAUUGGUGAUGCCUGACUGCUGAUUCUUUGGGUAAGGAGUGAAAUGAAGACUGUAAAAUGUAGAAGAACCAUUAUCUAUACAGCAGAGGAAGUCCUGGAGAAUAUAAGCACUCAGCGAGAAGA